GAUGAAGAACGCAGCGAAAUGCGAUAAGUAGUGUGAAUUGCAGAAUUCAGUGAAUCAUCGAAUCUUUGAACGCACAUUGCGCCCCUCGGUAUUCCGUGGGGCACGCCUGUUCGAGCGUCAUUUACACCCUCAAGCGCAGCUUGGUGUUGGGCGUCUGUCCCGCUCUCCGUAGCGCGGACUCGCCUCAAAGUCAUUGGCGGCGGUCGUGCCGGCUCCUCGCGCAGCACAUUUGCGCUUCUCGGAGGCCCGGCGGAUCGGCAUCCAGCAAGCUACUUUUUAUGACUUGACCUCGGAUCAGGUUAGGAUACCCGCUGAACUUAAGCAUAUCAAUAAGCGGAGGA
This 341-nucleotide unclassified non-coding RNA is filed under the name soil metagenome. RNAcentral's name for it is "partial contains 5.8S ribosomal RNA, internal transcribed spacer 2, and large subunit ribosomal RNA". The stretch from base 1 to 120 matches the Rfam family "5.8S ribosomal RNA", at positions 35 to 154 of the family's 154-position model. The record is from RNAcentral.